Molecule: ribosomal RNA, 424 nt
Filed under: uncultured prokaryote
Description: bacterial SSU rRNA
Rfam family: Bacterial small subunit ribosomal RNA
Source: RNAcentral
UGGGGAAUAUUGGACAAUGGGCGCAAGCCUGAUCCAGCCAUGCCGCGUGAGUGAUGAAGGCCCUAGGGUUGUAAAGCUCUUUCAACGGUGAAGAUAAUGACGGUAACCGUAGAAGAAGCCCCGGCUAACUUCGUGCCAGCAGCCGCGGUAAUACAGAGGGGGCAAGCGUUGUCCGGACUUACUGGGCGUAAAGCGCACGCAGGUGGUAAGGCAAGUGGGGUGUGAAAGCCGCCAGCUUAACUGGCGGAGGCCAUCCCAAACUGCUUCACUUGAGGCCUGUAGAGGUAUGUGGAAUUGCCGGUGUAGUGGUGAAAUGCGUAGAGAUCGGCAGGAACACCCAGGGGGAAACCAGCAUACUGGACAGGACCUGACACUCAGGUGCGACAGCGUGGGGAGCGAACCGGAUUAGAUACCCGCGUAGUCC